ACCCAGCAUGGAUCUGUGAUCCAGGCCAAUCAAUCAGACUCCCUGAUGGAUUUUUUUAUUUUUUUCAGUAAAUUAUGGGAUAACCUGGAGACUUGAAAUGGCACCAACUUUCCUAUCUGUGAAGAGACACUUUAGGAAGAAUAAAGCUUCAGGAGGAGAAAAGACAAAGGUUGCCCUCCAAAGUGCAUAG
This 190-nucleotide long non-coding RNA is filed under the name Callithrix jacchus (white-tufted-ear marmoset). RNAcentral's name for it is "lncRNA (ENSCJAG00000069397.2)". Lineage: Eukaryota; Metazoa; Chordata; Mammalia; Primates; Cebidae. The record is from RNAcentral.